This 490-nucleotide ribosomal RNA is filed under the name uncultured bacterium. RNAcentral's name for it is "partial 16S ribosomal RNA". It matches the Rfam family "Bacterial small subunit ribosomal RNA", at positions 30 to 507 of the family's 1533-position model. The record is from RNAcentral.
AUUGAACGCUGGCGGCAGGCCUAACACAUGCAAGUCGAACGGUAACAGGAAGCAGCUUGCUGCUUCGCUGACGAGUGGCGGACGGGUGAGUAAUGUCUGGGAAGCUGCCUGAUGGAGGGGGAUAACUACUGGAAACGGUAGCUAAUACCGCAUAACGUCGCAAGACCAAAGAGGGGGACCUUAGGGCCUCUUGCCAUCGGAUGUGCCCAGAUGGGAUUAGCUAGUAGGUGGGGUAACGGCUCACCUAGGCGACGAUCCCUAGCUGGUCUGAGAGGAUGACCCGCCACACUGGAACUGAGACACGGGCCCGACUCCUACGGGGGGCAGGAGUGGGGAAUAUUGCACAAUGGGGGGAAACCUGAUGCAGCCCUGCCGCGUGUAUGAAGAAGGCCUUCGGGUUGUAAAGUACUUUCAGCGGGGAGGAAGGGAGUAAAGUUAAUACCUUGGCUCAUUGACGUUACCCGCAGAAGAAGCACCGGCUAACUCCGUG